Molecule: ribosomal RNA, 387 nt
Filed under: uncultured bacterium
Lineage: Bacteria
Description: bacterial SSU rRNA
Rfam family: Bacterial small subunit ribosomal RNA
Source: RNAcentral
GACGAACGCUGGCGGCGUGCUUAAUACAUGCAAGUCGAGCGAGGUCCAUCUGGUGGCAACACCAGUGAAGGCCGAGCGGCGAACGGGUGAGUAACACGUGAGCAACCUGCCCCGAAGUCUGGAAUAACAUCGGGAAACCGGUGCUAAUACCGGAUCGCCCCACCUGACCGCAUGAUCGGGUGAGGAAAGAUUUAUCGCUUCGGGAGGGGCUCGCGGCCUAUCAGCAGUUGGUGGGGUAACGGCCUACCAAGGCAUCGACGGGUAGCUGGUCUGAGAGGACGACCAGCCACACUGGGACUGAGACACGGCCCAGACUCCUACGGGAGGCAGCAGUAGGGAAUCUUGCGCAAUGGGCGAAAGCCUGACGCAGCAACGCCGCGUGGGGGA